Molecule: ribosomal RNA, 449 nt
Filed under: uncultured bacterium
Lineage: Bacteria
Description: bacterial SSU rRNA
Rfam family: Bacterial small subunit ribosomal RNA
Source: RNAcentral
GUCCAGACUCCUACGGGAGGCAGCAGUGGGGAAUAUUGGGCAAUGGGCGCAAGCCUGACCCAGCAACGCCGCGUGAAGGAAGAAGGCCCUCGGGUUGUAAACUUCUUUUAUCAGGGACGAAACAAAUGACGGUACCUGAUGAAUAAGCCACGGCUAACUACGUGCCAGCAGCCGCGGUAAUACGUAGGUGGCAAGCGUUAUCCGGUUUUACUGGGUGUAAAGGGCGUGUAGGCGGGUCGGCAAGUCAGUGGUAAAUUGGGGGGGCUCACCCCCUUCCCGCCAUUGAAACUGGCGUUCUUGAGUGGAAGAGAAGUAUGCGGAAUGCGUGGUGUAGCGGUGAAAUGCAUAGAUAUCACGCAGAACCCCGAUUGCGAAGGCAGCAUGCCGGCUUCCGACUGACGCUGAAGCACGAAAGCGUGGGGAUCGAACAGGAUUAGAUACCCCUGUAU